Molecule: non-coding RNA, 768 nt
Organism: Nylanderia fulva
Lineage: Eukaryota; Metazoa; Arthropoda; Insecta; Hymenoptera; Formicidae
Source: RefSeq, a predicted model, not a curated record
UCUAUAAGAAACCACAUUCCAUUGGUACGUGGUUUCUUAUAGGUUGAAAUUUGUGCUGUGCUAUUUCUAUCGCUAUUGCCUCGCAUUGUGUCUCAGGCUUUACUUUAUCUUUACUGGAAUUCUAAAGUACAAUAUUAGAGAACUGUGUUUUCAUUGACAUUAUUAAUAACUUUUCAUUUCUCUAUUCACUGCAGUCCUCCAAGAAAUUAGACAAAGCAUUACCUUCGCGUCUAUUCAUCCGCUUCUCCUCAUUUUCAUGCCUCGCCUUGGAAUGUCGGAACCACUCCAUAACUCGUCGUUGUAUUUUUCUCUGGUCGGAAUCCGGGAUAUUGUGAAUUUCUGCAGUGGUUCCUUUCCGCGUCGGCCUUCCCAGUUAUAUCUCUCCGCCAAUUUAUUGGAGAAUACUUUAUACAAUGUUCUCUUUACGGCAUCAUCGACACUUGUCCCUCCGAUGGAUUUGAUAUAUCCGCGCUAUAAAAUAAAAAGUGUUAUGUUGGGAAUUUGACGCUUUCAAGAUCUCCUCAACUUCCGCUAACUGAACUACGGUUUGCAAGGGAAACCGGUUUUCAGCGCCCUCAAAGGAAAUUUGUGUUCUCUCACAUUCUGUGUCUUUAUUAAUUUUGUCUACUAUGAUGUCUACUAAGGGCUGUUAUGCGAAUAUUCAUUGUCUGACCGACCAUGGGCAUGUAUCAAGCCAUCUCGAGUUUUCUCUCUUGGAGCAAUAAUAGUACGCGGCAUAUGUUCCUCAGCAUCUGUUUCACAUGAAGC